This is a non-coding RNA of Zonotrichia albicollis (white-throated sparrow), 406 nucleotides long. The record is from RefSeq and is a predicted model, not a curated record. Lineage: Eukaryota; Metazoa; Chordata; Aves; Passeriformes; Passerellidae.
CGGGGGCUGCGUGGCCUUCGUGCUGGACAACACCAUCCCAGGAAGCCCCGAGGAGAGGGGAAUUCGGAAAUGGAAGAAAGGGGUCGGCAAAGGCAGCAAAUCCCUGGAUGGCAUGGAAACCUACGAUCUGCCUUUUGGCAUGAACUUCAUUAAAAAGUACAGGUGUUUCAGCUUCCUGCCCAUCAGCCCCACCUUCGUGGGCUACACGUGGAAAGGCUUCAGGAAAAGCAGCAGCUGCAGGAGUUCAGAUGAAGACUCAGAAGCUACAGUAUAGCCUUAGCUGAAAUUCUAUUAUCUAGUUGUAGUCAGAGAUGUAUUUGCAGUUUCUUGCUGAUUAAGAAGCAUUAAAAUAUAUGUUUUGUAUAUCUGCAUUUAAAUUCUGGAACCAGAGCUGAGACNAUUUGAA